Molecule: microRNA, 23 nt
Filed under: Symphalangus syndactylus (siamang)
Lineage: Eukaryota; Metazoa; Chordata; Mammalia; Primates; Hylobatidae
Description: ssy-miR-508
Gene: ssy-miR-508
Source: miRBase by way of RNAcentral
UGAUUGUAGCCCUUUUGAGUAGA